ACGGCCACUUUUCGACAAAAAGGUAUGUCCAUAAAUUGAAUGUUUUAUUUUUAACACUAUUAGAAACUCUAAUCUAGCAUUUUUGAAUUUUAACCUUUUGUUUUUCCUAUCCUUUUAUCUCAUUUCAAUUAUGUGAGAGUGUAUUUUUCUUUUGUGACUUCCUUUACAGUAAAAUAAAGUAUAAAAAAUUGUUUAAGAUCAGACUAUUGACAAGUUGGCGCCUGUAUCUUUGUGUUUAAAUUAAUCUUUCUUGGCCUAUGCCUUAUGACUAUGAGCCAUUUAAAUUGGCAAUGUUUAAUUCUGCUUUUUACGUAUAAUUGCAUGUUAUAGAAUUUAAGGAUACGUCCCUAUAGAAUUUCUUGAUUAAAGGAAAACAAUUUUUACAAAAUGAAGCAUUUUAUGUGCAGGU
This 409-nucleotide unclassified non-coding RNA is filed under the name Hevea brasiliensis (rubber tree). The record is from RNAcentral. Lineage: Eukaryota; Viridiplantae; Streptophyta; Magnoliopsida; Malpighiales; Euphorbiaceae.